RNAcentral lists this ribosomal RNA (332 nucleotides) under uncultured bacterium. RNAcentral's name for it is "bacterial SSU rRNA". It matches the Rfam family "Bacterial small subunit ribosomal RNA", at positions 568 to 898 of the family's 1533-position model. The record is from RNAcentral.
CUCGUAGGCGGCCAACUCAGUCAGACGUGAAAUCCCUCGGCUUAACCGGGGAACGGCGUCUGAUACUGGAUGGCUUGAGGUUGGGAGAGGGAUGCGGAAUUCCAGGUGUAGCGGUGAAAUGCGUAGAUAUCUGGAGGAACACCGGUGGCGAAGGCGGCAUCCUGGACCAAUUCUGACGCUGAGGAGCGAAAGCCAGGGGAGCAAACGGGAUUAGAUACCCCGGUAGUCCUGGCCCUAAACGAUGAAUGCUUGGUGUGACGGGUAUCGAUCCCUGUCGUGCCGAAGCUAACGCAUUAAGCAUUCCGCCUGGGGAGUACGGUCGCAAGGCUGAA